This 231-nucleotide ribosomal RNA is filed under the name Burkholderia cepacia. RNAcentral's name for it is "partial 16S ribosomal RNA". It matches the Rfam family "Bacterial small subunit ribosomal RNA", at positions 306 to 529 of the family's 1533-position model. The record is from RNAcentral. Lineage: Bacteria; Pseudomonadati; Pseudomonadota; Betaproteobacteria; Burkholderiales; Burkholderiaceae.
UCUCACACUGGGACUGAGACACGGCCCAGACUCCUACGGGAGGCAGCAGUGGGGAAUUUUGGACAAUGGGCGAAAGCCUGAUCCAGCAAUGCCGCGUGUGUGAAGAAGGCCUUCGGGUUGUAAAGCACUUUUGUCCGGAAAGAAAUCCUUGGCUCUAAUACAGUCGGGGGAUGACGGUACCGGAAGAAUAAGCACCGGCUAACUACGUGCCAGCAGCCGCGGUAAUACAAA